AAUGUAUGACGCUGUUGACUUUUUGUCCAACGUUUGACCAUUCAUCUUAUUCAAAAAAUUUAUAUAAUUAUCAUUUAUUUUAUUAUGAUUUGAUUUGUCAUCAAAUGUUCUUUAAGUAUGACAUAAAUAUUUUUAUAUUUGCACAAAAAUUUUGAAUAAAACGAAUGGUCAAACGUUGGUCGAAAAGUCAACGGCGUCAUACAUU
Molecule: non-coding RNA, 205 nt
Organism: Oryza glaberrima (African rice)
Lineage: Eukaryota; Viridiplantae; Streptophyta; Magnoliopsida; Poales; Poaceae
Source: Rfam